This 375-nucleotide ribosomal RNA is filed under the name uncultured bacterium. RNAcentral describes it as "bacterial SSU rRNA". It matches the Rfam family "Bacterial small subunit ribosomal RNA", at positions 527 to 898 of the family's 1533-position model. The record is from RNAcentral.
GUAGGGUGCGAGCGUUGUCCGGAAUUAUUGGGCGUAAAGAGCUCGUAGGCGGUGUGUCGCGUCGGUCGUGAAAACUUGGGGCUUAACCCUGAGCGUGCGGUCGAUACGGGCAUCACUUGAGUUCGGCAGGGGAGACUGGAAUUCCUGGUGUAGCGGUGAAAUGCGCAGAUAUCAGGAGGAACACCGGUGGCGAAGGCGGGUCUCUGGGCCGAUACUGACGCUGAGGAGCGAAAGCGUGGGGAGCGAACAGGAUUAGAUACCCUGGUAGUCCACGCCGUAAACGGUGGGCGCUAGGUGUGGGGGCCAUUCCACGGUCUCUGUGCCGCAGCUAACGCAUUAAGCGCCCCGCCUGGGGAGUACGGCCGCAAGGCUAAA